Molecule: long non-coding RNA, 882 nt
Filed under: Coturnix japonica (Japanese quail)
Lineage: Eukaryota; Metazoa; Chordata; Aves; Galliformes; Phasianidae
Description: lncRNA (ENSCJPG00005000784.1)
Source: RNAcentral
AAAAAAAUCAAUUAAAAGUGAGUUUCAUCAUCAAGACAAUAGAACACAGUAGUGGAUCUGUAUUGGAAGAGACUAUAUAGGUGACUGCUCUGAAUUAAGCUAAAGAAUCACUAGGUAUACCUAGUACUUUUUAAAGCACAUUUUGUAAAAAUAUAUUUUUUUCCUUUAGAAUUAGAAAUUAAGGGACAGCAUCUGCUGAAUAAACUCUUCUCCUUCCAUACCUUAGUGCUGUCAAAAUGUUGGAAAUGAAACAACAUAGUGUGGAAGUACCUGGAUUUUGUGUAAAUAGUAACUGUAUGCUUAAACAGUUGAGGUUAGGAAGAGAGUUGUAAUUAAUAUCUUUAUGCUUAUGGAUUUCACUUUUAAUUAUUUUUUAGGGUUCUGUUUAGUUGGAUUUUUUUUCCUCAUAGAAGGCGUCUUUAAGAAAAAAUCUCAGAUGUUCGUUUCUGCAAGAUGUCCCACUGAGACCUCUGGAAAAAGCAAGAGGAAAAAAAGGAGAAGUGAAGGAAGACACAAAAAUAAUUGGAUGGGAAUUAGAGACUUGAAAUAACUCCUCAAAAUUUAUCAAUUUUAUGUCUUAAUCUGGAAUUAACCGGAUGGUGGAUUUAGACACGCAUUUGAUCUCUCAAACUGCUCAUACUGAAGCAUUUCCAAUAUGCCAGAAGGUAUGGCCGUAGUCACUGUUUGCAAGUGACCAAUCUAUUCACAUGCUCAUUGGGUGAAAUAAGGACUAUUUAAAAAAAGAAAAAUGUUUUUUACUUGACAGUGGCAGCAAACCAUGACAGAAAGGGACUGAUGCAGUGGUGGAAGAAAGUUGUGUCAUUUUUAAGCUAUAGAAUAGUUGAAAGUUUGGUGUCUAAUAAAUGACUCCAGUUUGGUGCA